RNAcentral lists this transfer RNA (90 nucleotides) under Candidatus Tokpelaia sp. JSC189. RNAcentral describes it as "tRNA-Ser". It matches the Rfam family "tRNA". Rfam says of the family: Transfer RNA (tRNA) molecules are approximately 80 nucleotides in length. Their secondary structure includes four short double-helical elements and three loops (D, anti-codon, and T loops). The record is from RNAcentral. Lineage: Bacteria; Pseudomonadati; Pseudomonadota; Alphaproteobacteria; Hyphomicrobiales.
GGAGGGAUGGCCGAGUGGUUGAAGGCACCGGUCUUGAAAAUCGGCGUGCAGCAUGCUGUGCCGUGGGUUCGAAUCCCACUCCCUCCGCCA